UGGGGAAUUUUGGACAAUGGGCGAAAGCCUGAUCCAGCAAUGCCGCGUGUGUGAAGAAGGCCUUCGGGUUGUAAAGCACUUUUGUCCGGAAAGAAAUCCUUGGCUCUAAUACAGUCGGGGGAUGACGGUACCGGAAGAAUAAGCACCGGCUAACUACGUGCCAGCAGCCGCGGUAAUACGUAUGGUGCAAGCGUUAAUCGGAAUUACUGGGCGUAAAGCGUGCGCAGGCGGUUUGCUAAGACCGAUGUGAAAUCCCCGGGCUCAACCUGGGAACUGCAUUGGUGACUGGCAGGCUAGAGUAUGGCAGAGGGGGGUAGAAUUCCACGUGUAGCAGUGAAAUGCGUAGAGAUGUGGAGGAAUACCGAUGGCGAAGGCAGCCCCCUGGGCCAAUACUGACGCUCGUGCACGAAAGCGUGGGGAGCAAACAGGAUUAGAUACCCUGGUAGUCCACGCCCUAAACGAUGUCAACUAGUUGUUGGGGAUUCAUUUCCUUAGUAACGUAGCUAACGCGUGAAGUUGACCGCCUGGGGAGUACGGUCGCAAGAUUAAAACUUAAAGGAAUUGACGGGGUCAUAGCUGUUUCCU
This 585-nucleotide ribosomal RNA is filed under the name uncultured bacterium. RNAcentral describes it as "partial 16S ribosomal RNA". It matches the Rfam family "Bacterial small subunit ribosomal RNA", at positions 355 to 1375 of the family's 1533-position model. The record is from RNAcentral.